UGAGGAAUAUUGGUCAAUGGGCGAGAGCCUGAACCAGCCAUGCCGCGUGCAGGAAGACGGCCCUAUGGGUUGUAAACUGCUUUUGUUUGGGAAGAAAAGCCGCUACGCGUAGUGGACUGACGGUACCAGAUGAAUAAGCAUCGGCUAACUCCGUGCCAGCAGCCGCGGUAAUACGGAGGAUGCGAGCGUUAUCCGGAUUUAUUAGGUUUAAAGGGUGUGUAGGCGGAAGAUUAAGUCAGUGGUGAAAUCUCACAGCUCAACUGUGAAACUGCCAUAGAUACUGGUUUUCUUGAGUACAGUUGAAGUAGGCGGAAUGUGUAAUGUAGCGGUGAAAUGCUUAGAUAUUACACAGAACACCGAUUGCGAAGGCAGCUUGCUAAGCUGUUACUGACGCUGAUGCACGAAAGCGUGGGGAGCGAACAGG
This 424-nucleotide ribosomal RNA is filed under the name uncultured Bacteroidales bacterium. RNAcentral's name for it is "bacterial SSU rRNA". It matches the Rfam family "Bacterial small subunit ribosomal RNA", at positions 355 to 776 of the family's 1533-position model. The record is from RNAcentral. Lineage: Bacteria; Pseudomonadati; Bacteroidota; Bacteroidia; Bacteroidales.